This is a non-coding RNA of Sphaerobolus stellatus SS14, 131 nucleotides long. NCBI's taxonomy places the organism in Eukaryota, Fungi, Basidiomycota, Agaricomycetes, Geastrales, Sphaerobolaceae. The record is from the annotation of a GenBank genome assembly.
UCCGAUAUGGUGUAGCGGCUAACAUUAUCGCCUCUCAUUGGAACGCGACACUUUCACCCCGCCACCUCCUUCCCCAGGCUACAAAGUCGGCGCUGAGAUCAUGGCCCGGGGUUCAAUUCCCCGCGUCGGAA